GGGUGCCGGUGAUGAUUAAAGAGUUAGCAUGGUGAAUUCGAUGAAUUCGCUCACGUGCCACUGGGUGCGCAGCUGUGGUGAUAUGCAUUCUUACGCAGAGGCAUGC
This 106-nucleotide small nucleolar RNA is filed under the name Oryza punctata. RNAcentral's name for it is "snoRNA snoZ188". It matches the Rfam family "Small nucleolar RNA Z188". From Rfam's summary of the family: Z188 is a member of the C/D class of snoRNA which contain the C (UGAUGA) and D (CUGA) box motifs. Most of the members of the box C/D family function in directing site-specific 2'-O-methylation of substrate RNAs. Lineage: Eukaryota; Viridiplantae; Streptophyta; Magnoliopsida; Poales; Poaceae. The record is from Rfam by way of RNAcentral.